Molecule: long non-coding RNA, 829 nt
Organism: Catharus ustulatus (Swainson's thrush)
Lineage: Eukaryota; Metazoa; Chordata; Aves; Passeriformes; Turdidae
Exons: 3
Source: RefSeq, a predicted model, not a curated record
AGACAUUUGAGUUAGAGAGAUUUUCAACAAUAUGUCAACAAGGGCUGUUUGGAACGGGAUCAAUUCAAGACAGUUGAGUCACAGAGAUUUUCAACAAUAUGUCAACAAGAUCCUCGCACCACUCUGACUGGAAGAAGUCUGGAAGUCAGACUCACUGCAACGAGGAAUGUCACAAUAUUCCCAGCGUUUAUCUGGACUGGUAGUGAAACACCAGGGCCAAAGUUCUCCAUCAGGAUUACGACAAUAAUUCUCCUUCAGAUCCUUCUCUGGAAAACUGAACCAGAAAAAUAAGAUUUUUAGGUUUCAAGAUACGCUACCUAAUAGCUGUAACAAUUAUCCUGUCUGGUGCAGGAUGGUCUGCAGCCCACCACUGAUGAAUGAGACCAUCACAGAACCUGACUCACUUUUCUGGGAGGUAUCCAUGAGAGUGAGGUUGCUGGGAGUCCCAGCGCUGGCACUCAAGCCCAGAUGCUGUUGUUGCAACUACUCCAUGGUAGUUUUCUCCAUUGCAGUGCAUGCAGUCUACUGUAGGAACAAGGCAGAAUAAGGACAAGAGAGACAGAAAGCCCUUGAUGAACUGGUCCAGAAACAUUCCCCCUCAUCUCACAUGAAGCACAGGAGCGUGAUCAGAGCACAAGGCUGAAGUAUGGCAUUUUUUGACAAAGUAAAAGCUUAUUUUCCUUGGUAAGAUGACUUUAACUAGAUGAUUAUAUUUGUACUAUUCCAUUAAAAAACCCCAACUCUAACCAGCUUAUGGACUGCAGGUUUUAAAAGAUCUAAAUUGAAUGUAUUAAGAUAUAAUUUUAAAUCUGUGCUUUGCUACUGUCAC